UACGUAGGGUGCAAGCGUUGUCCGGAAUUAUUGGGCGUAAAGAGCUCGUAGGCGGUUUGUCGCGUCUGCUGUGAAAACCUGGGGCUUAACUCCGGGCCUGCAGUGGGUACGGGCAGACUAGAGUGCGGUAGGGGAGACUGGAAUUCCUGGUGUAGCGGUGAAAUGCGCAGAUAUCAGGAGGAACACCGAUGGCGAAGGCAGGUCUCUGGGCCGUAACUGACGCUGAGGAGCGAAAGCGUGGGGAGCGAACAGGAUUAGAAACCCCGGUAGUCC
Molecule: ribosomal RNA, 273 nt
Filed under: uncultured bacterium
Lineage: Bacteria
Description: partial 16S ribosomal RNA
Rfam family: Bacterial small subunit ribosomal RNA
Source: RNAcentral